GAACUUCAUUGUGCCCACAUAUUC
RNAcentral lists this non-coding RNA (24 nucleotides) under Arabidopsis thaliana (thale cress). Lineage: Eukaryota; Viridiplantae; Streptophyta; Magnoliopsida; Brassicales; Brassicaceae. The record is from RNAcentral.